This 121-nucleotide ribosomal RNA is filed under the name Octodon degus (degu). The record is from RNAcentral. Lineage: Eukaryota; Metazoa; Chordata; Mammalia; Rodentia; Octodontidae.
GUCUACAGCCAUACCACCAUGAACGCGCCCCAUCUCGUCUGAUCUUGGAAGCUAAGCAGGGUUGGGCCUGGCUAGUACUUGGAUGGGAGAAAUCAAGAGAGCAGGUCUGGUGGCGCAGGCC